GAUGAACGCUGGCGGCGUGCCUAAUACAUGCAAGUCGAGCGAACGGACGAGACGCUUGCUUUUCUGAUGUUAGCGGCGGACAGGUGAGUAACACGUGGCUAACCUACCUGUAAGACUGGGAUAACUUCGGGAAACCGGAGCUAAUACCGGCUAAUAUUUUGUACCGCAUGGUUCAAAAGUGAAAGACGGUCUUGCUGUCACUCAUAGAUGGAUCCGCGCUGCAUUAGCUAGUUGGGAAGGUAACGGCUUACCAAGGCAACGAUGCAUAGCCGACCUGAGCGGGGGAUCGGCCACACUGGAGCUGAGACACGGUCCAGACUCCUACGGGAGGCAGCAGUAGGGAAUCGUCCGCAGUGGGCGAGAGCCUGACGGAGCGACGCCGCGUGAGUGAUGAAGGUCUUCGGAUCGUAAAACUCUGUUAUUAGUGAAGAACAUAUGUGUAAGUAACUGUGCACAUCUUGACGGUACCUAAUCAGAAAGCCACGGCUAACUACGUG
Molecule: ribosomal RNA, 497 nt
Filed under: uncultured bacterium
Lineage: Bacteria
Description: partial 16S ribosomal RNA
Rfam family: Bacterial small subunit ribosomal RNA
Source: RNAcentral